UUUUUUUUUUUUUUCAGCAGAAAAUCAGUAGGUGUCGAGGCGGAGACGUGCAGCAUCAGCAGGGGCAGCUCGCUGGGGAGCAAACACGAAGGCACCGGGUGCGCAAGGAGUUAAGGAGGAGUUAAGGGGCCCGGCCAGGCUGGUGCGGGAGGAAGCCACCCUCUGCGGGGAAGGAAGGGACAGAACAAUUAGUCAUUUAUUUUGGUCGGAGGCAGCGUCCCAUUAAAAUAUUGCUGCCCAAGCUGCGCGCACAUGGCAAGAAGCAGAGCACCCGGCUAGCAGCGAGACAAAGGCAGCCUGUGCUCCCGAGAUGUUUUAUUCAUGCGCAGCCUGGGAGCACCAAAAAGCCCAGCCGGGACAGGGACAGCAGCGAGGGGCUGUGCUGACCACCAUAGGCUGGGGCAGCACCAGGAUUUGCAGUUUUUUUCCCAGUUUUGCCACCUCGUUGUGCUCAUUUGCCCGUGCUGUGCAGGAGCCGUGGUCCUGGCACCGCUGCUGGAGCUCCGUGCCCCUGGCGGAGGAUUAGCUGUCCUGCACACGCAUGGUGUUGGGCCACUGCUUCUGCAAGCAGAGCUCGAGAGCCUUCCCACCUGGAAGCGACUGCAAAUUCAGCUGUGGUAAGGGCUAGGAAUGAAGUUAACACACGGACACCACCAGCUCGAGGUGCUCACAGCAGGCAGGGUCUGGGUGCCCACGGUGGCACCACCCCACCCCGGGCAGCGUGGCAUGAAGCAGAGCCGCAUUUUGGGGCUUGGGUAAUUGCCUGUGCCCAAGCACAUGCCCGAGGGAGGGAACCGUGUGGGUUCAGGGCAGAGGUUGCACAGCUCCCGGAGGAAAAGACGCCUCUUCCGUCACGCUGAGAGGCGGAGGUGGCAGCUUCCCACCCAGCCCAGCCCUGCCACUGCGCUGGGUGGGCUGUCGAAGCUGUGAGUGUCCCUUCCCGGGGGUGGAUUUCCCCCUGAAUUGCUGCUGAGAGCACCACUAAAUAAAGCACUCUUCAUGGUGGCCA
This 1009-nucleotide long non-coding RNA is filed under the name Anas platyrhynchos platyrhynchos (common mallard). Its description in RNAcentral is "lncRNA (ENSAPLG00000028718.1)". The record is from RNAcentral. Lineage: Eukaryota; Metazoa; Chordata; Aves; Anseriformes; Anatidae.